RNAcentral lists this ribosomal RNA (443 nucleotides) under uncultured bacterium. RNAcentral's name for it is "partial 16S ribosomal RNA". It matches the Rfam family "Bacterial small subunit ribosomal RNA", at positions 338 to 795 of the family's 1533-position model. The record is from RNAcentral.
CCUACGGGAGGCAGCAGUGAGGACUAUUGGGCAAUGGGCGCAAGCCUGACCCAGCAACGCCGCGUGAAGGAAGAAGGCUUUCGGGUUGUAAACUUCUUUUCUCGAGGACGAAAACAGUGACUGUACCUGAGUAAUGCGCCCCGGCUAACUACGUGCCAGCAGCCGCUGUAAUCCGUAGGUGGCAAGCUUUCUCCGGAUUUAUUUGGUUUAAAGGGCGUGUAGGCGGGAUCGCAAUUCAGAUGUGAAAACUCAGGGCUCAACCCUGCGCCUGCAUUUGAAACUGGCUUUCUUGAGUGCUGGAGAGGUAAGCGGAAUUCCGUGUGUAGCGGUGAAAUGCGUAGAUAUACGGAGGAACACCAGUGGCGAAGGCGGAUUGCUGGACAGUAACUGACGCUGAGGCGCGAAAGCGUGGGUAGCAAACAGGAUUAGAUACCCCAGUAGUC